Molecule: long non-coding RNA, 248 nt
Filed under: Dromaius novaehollandiae (emu)
Lineage: Eukaryota; Metazoa; Chordata; Aves; Casuariiformes; Dromaiidae
Description: lncRNA (ENSDNVG00000002950.1)
Source: RNAcentral
CCUCCGUGCUGCCUGUCCCCUCGCCUGGGGGCCCCAGAGGGUCCCUUGAAGCGUGGCCUGGGACAGCAGAUUAAUGGACAGCUGAGCAUUCUGUCAUUGGGUUACAAAAGGAGAAGUUAGCGCAUCAGAAAGGACUUCUCUUACGGCAAAAAGGCCAGGAACCACUCAAGGAAGGCUGACAGGUUUUAUCAACAGAAUGGAAACUGAAGUGAUAAGAAGCUCUGGCCUCAGACUGCUCCGUGUAUGUU